AGCUGAAUGGCGCAGCGGAAGCGCGCCGGGCUCAUAACCCGGAGGACAGUGGAUCGAAACCACUUUCAGCUA
Molecule: transfer RNA, 72 nt
Organism: Neofusicoccum parvum
Lineage: Eukaryota; Fungi; Ascomycota; Dothideomycetes; Botryosphaeriales; Botryosphaeriaceae
Rfam family: tRNA
About the family: Transfer RNA (tRNA) molecules are approximately 80 nucleotides in length.
Source: Rfam